UAAGGGCGCACGGUGGAUGCCUUGGCACUAGAAGCCGAUGAAGGACGUUACUAACGACGAUAUGCUUUGGGGAGCUGUAAGUAAGCUUUGAUCCAGAGAUUUCCGAAUGGGGAAACCCAGCAUGAGUUAUGUCAUGUUAUCGAUAUGUGAAUACAUAGCAUAUCAGAAGGCACACCCGGAGAACUGAAACAUCUUAGUACCCGGAGGAAGAGAAAGAAAAUUCGAUUCCCUUAGUAGCGGCGAGCGAAACGGGAAGAGCCCAAACCAACAAGCUUGCUUGUUGGGGUUGUAGGACACUCUAUACGGAGUUACAAAGGACGACAUUAGACGAAUCAUCUGGAAAGAUGAAUCAAAGAAGGUAAUAAUCCUGUAGUCGAAAAUGUUGUCUCUCUUGAGUGGAUCCUGAGUACGACGGAGCACGUGAAAUUCCGUCGGAAUCUGGGAGGACCAUCUCCUAAGGCUAAAUACUCUCUAGUGACCGAUAGUGAACCAGUACCGUGAGGGAAAGGUGAAAAGCACCCCGGAAGGGGAGUGAAAUAGAACCUGAAACCGUGUGCUUACAAGUAGUCAGAGCCCGUUAAUGGGUGAUGGCGUGCCUUUUGUAGAAUGAACCGGCGAGUUACGAUUUGAUGCAAGGUUAAGCAGUAAAUGUGGAGCCGUAGCGAAAGCGAGUCUGAAUAGGGCGUUUAGUAUUUGGUCGUAGACCCGAAACCAGGUGAUCUACCCUUGGUCAGGUUGAAGUUCAGGUAACACUGAAUGGAGGACCGAACCGACUUACGUUGAAAAGUGAGCGGAUGAACUGAGGGUAGCGGAGAAAUUCCAAUCGAACCUGGAGAUAGCUGGUUCUCUCCGAAAUAGCUUUAGGGCUAGCCUCAAGUGAUGAUUAUUGGAGGUAGAGCACUGUUUGGACGAGGGGCCCCUCUCGGGUUACCGAAUUCAGACAAACUCCGAAUGCCAAUUAAUUUAACUUGGGAGUCAGAACAUGGGUGAUAAGGUCCGUGUUCGAAAGGGAAACAGCCCAGACCACCAGCUAAGGUCCCAAAAUAUAUGUUAAGUGGAAAAGGAUGUGGCGUUGCCCAGACAACUAGGAUGUUGGCUUAGAAGCAGCCAUCAUUUAAAGAGUGCGUAAUAGCUCACUAGUCGAGUGACACUGCGCCGAAAAUGUACCGGGGCUAAACAUAUUACCGAAGCUGUGGAUUGUCCUUUGGACAAUGGUAGGAGAGCGUUCUAAGGGCGUUGAAGCAUGAUCGUAAGGACAUGUGGAGCGCUUAGAAGUGAGAAUGCCGGUGUGAGUAGCGAAAGACGGGUGAGAAUCCCGUCCACCGAUUGACUAAGGUUUCCAGAGGAAGGCUCGUCCGCUCUGGGUUAGUCGGGUCCUAAGCUGAGGCCGACAGGCGUAGGCGAUGGAUAACAGGUUGAUAUUCCUGUACCACCUAUAAUCGUUUUAAUCGAUGGGGGGACGCAGUAGGAUAGGCGAAGCGUGCGAUUGGAUUGCACGUCUAAGCAGUAAGGCUGAGUAUUAGGCAAAUCCGGUACUCGUUAAGGCUGAGCUGUGAUGGGGAGAAGACAUUGUGUCUUCGAGUCGUUGAUUUCACACUGCCGAGAAAAGCCUCUAGAUAGAAAAUAGGUGCCCGUACCGCAAACCGACACAGGUAGUCAAGAUGAGAAUUCUAAGGUGAGCGAGCGAACUCUCGUUAAGGAACUCGGCAAAAUGACCCCGUAACUUCGGGAGAAGGGGUGCUCUUUAGGGUUAACGCCCAGAAGAGCCGCAGUGAAUAGGCCCAAGCGACUGUUUAUCAAAAACACAGGUCUCUGCUAAACCGUAAGGUGAUGUAUAGGGGCUGACGCCUGCCCGGUGCUGGAAGGUUAAGAGGAGUGGUUAGCUUCUGCGAAGCUACGAAUCGAAGCCCCAGUAAACGGCGGCCGUAACUAUAACGGUCCUAAGGUAGCGAAAUUCCUUGUCGGGUAAGUUCCGACCCGCACGAAAGGCGUAACGAUUUGGGCACUGUCUCAACGAGAGACUCGGUGAAAUCAUAGUACCUGUGAAGAUGCAGGUUACCCGCGACAGGACGGAAAGACCCCGUGGAGCUUUACUGUAGCCUGAUAUUGAAAUUCGGCACAGCUUGUACAGGAUAGGUAGGAGCCUUUGAAACGUGAGCGCUAGCUUACGUGGAGGCGCUGGUGGGAUACUACCCUA
Molecule: ribosomal RNA, 2197 nt
Filed under: Staphylococcus aureus
Lineage: Bacteria; Bacillati; Bacillota; Bacilli; Caryophanales; Staphylococcaceae
Description: partial 23S ribosomal RNA
Rfam family: Bacterial large subunit ribosomal RNA
Source: RNAcentral